GGAUGUGAGGCAAUCUGGUUGCGAUAUCCGUCACCCUACUGAUUGCCAACAUUGAUUUGGCUGAUCUGGGUGGCUAGGCGGGUGUCCCCUUCCUCCCUCACCUCUCAUGUUCAUCUCUUCGGAAGCUGCAUGCAAGGUCAAAGAGGACAGCCUUCCCCCAAUAGAGAAGGACCUUCCCCCAAUAGAAGAGGACCUUCCCCCAAUACGGGAAGACCCGUCUUCAGUCAAGGGUGUAUGAGUAGCUGAGCUCCCCUACUAGAACUUUCAUACAAGUUCUCAAGAAAUAUAUCUCAGGGCGGUGAUGGCACAUGCCUUUAAUCCCCGUACUUGGGAGGCAGAGCCAGG
This 345-nucleotide small nuclear RNA is filed under the name Mesocricetus auratus (golden hamster). RNAcentral's name for it is "7SK RNA". It matches the Rfam family "7SK RNA". Rfam says of the family: 7SK was discovered as an abundant small nuclear RNA in the mid-70s but a possible function has only recently been suggested. Two independent studies have found that 7SK RNA binds the CDK9/cyclin T complex (known as elongation factor P-TEFb). P-TEFb activates transcription by phosphorylating the C-terminal domain of RNA polymerase II. Lineage: Eukaryota; Metazoa; Chordata; Mammalia; Rodentia; Cricetidae. The record is from Rfam by way of RNAcentral.